CCCGCUCAGAAACUUAAAUGAAUUGACGGGGGCCCGCACAAGCGGAGGAACAUGUGGUUUAAUUCGAUGAUACGCGAGGAACCUUACCCGGGCUUGAAAUGCAUCUGACCGGCCUUGAAAGAGGCACUCCCUUCGGGGCAGAUGUGUAGGUGCUGCAUGGUUGUCGUCAGCUCGUGCCGUGAGGUGUCGGCUUAAGUGCCAUAACGAGCGCAACCCUCAUCAUUAGUUACCAUCAGGUAAGGCUGGGGACUCUAAUGAGACUGCCAUCGUAAGAUGUGAGGAAGGUGGGGAUGACGUCAAAUCAGCACGGCCCUUACGUCCGGGGCGACACACGUGUUACAAUGGGUGGUACAAAGGGCAGCUACCUGGCGACAGGAUGCUAAUCUCGAAAACCGCUCUCAGUUCGGAUCGGAGUCUGCAACUCGACUCCGUGAAGCUGGAUUCGCUAGUAAUCGCGCAUCAGCCACGGCGCGGUGAAUACGUUCCCGGGCCUU
This 494-nucleotide ribosomal RNA is filed under the name uncultured Proteiniphilum sp. RNAcentral's name for it is "bacterial SSU rRNA". It matches the Rfam family "Bacterial small subunit ribosomal RNA", at positions 888 to 1382 of the family's 1533-position model. Lineage: Bacteria; Pseudomonadati; Bacteroidota; Bacteroidia; Bacteroidales; Dysgonomonadaceae. The record is from RNAcentral.